AAAACAAUUCGCGCGACGACAAACCUUCGUAGCACUAAAGUAAAGGAAAGGAAAUAAUUCAUCGUGCAAAAUACUGAACAACAAAUUACUUAUAAUUUAAUAACUUUUAAAUUAUUGGAAAAUAAUAAAAUGUCCUUGCACUAAUAUUUGGAUAACAACAGUAUUCGUCGCGCAAGUACGUACAUACCUAAGGAAACAUUUUUGUCGUCAUUAUUUCAAUGCAACAACAUAUUUUGUAGUUCUAAAUCUUGCGCCACAAAGGGCUUUGUCCCUUAAAACUUAGUGUGACUAACAAUCCUUCAUGGUUUGAAAUCUUACGCCACGAAGGCCUUUGUCCCUUAAAACUUAGUGCGACGAAUAUCACUUUCGUCAUGCAAAAGUGUUUGCGUGACAAAUUUUCAUGUCUUCGUCAUGCAAACCCUAACUUCAUGAGCUUUGCGCGAUGACAUGAUGGCAACGAAGCUUUGAUUGCAAUUUUUUGGACGCUAAAACUCUUCUCUGUGAAACAGCCUUCAUUUCGUCACGGUAGCUGUUAAAUCUCGUAGUGUCUACAAGGCUAAAGGGUUAUACUGUAUUAGUGUAAGAUUCCUCAUGCAAGUGUUACAUUGUUCUUUUAGAAAACUUCAUUUUAAUCCUUAAAAAAGAUGAGUUGACACACCCCGAUCGAGAUCAAGGCAUGCUGGCCGUUACGUGAAGGUGACGUAGCCAUGUGCACAGUGCGGAAGUAAAUAAGAUAAGAAAUAUAUGAAUAAAUAAAAACCGAGAGCUACUAAAGUGCACUAAUAAACAGGAAGUGUUAGGAGUAAGAUAUAAAAGUAAAAACUCCUAAUUAGAGCAUAGAAAGUCUAGGUGCAGUCCAGUAGGACAAGUACAAAUUAUACAGUACCAGAAGAUGUCCUACAAUUAUUUAUUAUGUCAAAACUGCCGAAGUCCUCAAGGCCACCAAUAGCAAGCUUAUCUAAAACCUGGAGGGGCGCAAAACAGAAAGCGUGAGUGGGCAAAAACAAAUGUUUUACAAAACCAUUUCAUUUCUCAAUAGUUCUAACUCCUCGCCGUAAAACAUAUAUAAUUUUCCCAGAAAUAGAAUAUAAGCAUAUGCAUAAAUAUAUAUGUAAAUUUAUCAAUUCAAAUCAUGCAUCACAUGUUCAUAAUCAUAAGUAUGCCAUGCCAAGAUAUAACAGAGUAAGUAAUUCAGGUGAGAAUAAAUUCAUGGAAAAUAACAUAUUAGCCGGAACUCCUACAUAAGUCUGUACAGCUAAAUUCAUAGCUCAAAAGUCAAUCUAGCCAGAGUCACUACAAUAACCUAUACGGCACUAUACUGCACACGUGUCAGAACCAAUGAAAAGGUCUGUACGACAAUAUUGGGUGUAAUAUAAUUAUGCUCAAUACUAUGUUGGAAAUGUGCCCUAAAACCAAUCAUAUGAUGAUACUUUACGGACAUUUCACAUGUUAAACUAAUAUAGUUUAAUUUAAAGGGCAAAGAUUAUUGUUUGAAGCCAUCUCAUAUAAAUGUUAUACGCUUAAACGAUAAGUCUAAGGAAUAUGUAAUUGGGAGAAUGCGAUCUAAAGAAGUUAGAUUUAUGAGACCAUUCUCUUCCGUAUACAUAUCCUAAACAUUCCUGAUCAUAGGAUUGCCAAUUGGGCAUUGACAGUCCGUUAAGAUCAGUACGUGUU
This 1674-nucleotide long non-coding RNA is filed under the name Malus domestica (apple). RNAcentral describes it as "long non-coding RNA (MDOM_LNC012277)". The record is from RNAcentral. Lineage: Eukaryota; Viridiplantae; Streptophyta; Magnoliopsida; Rosales; Rosaceae.